Long non-coding RNA from Drosophila pseudoobscura, 2421 nucleotides. RefSeq lists it as uncharacterized. The transcript has 3 exons. NCBI's taxonomy places the organism in Eukaryota, Metazoa, Arthropoda, Insecta, Diptera, Drosophilidae. The record is from RefSeq and is a predicted model, not a curated record.
GCUAUCAUAUCCAUCCGUUUCCACUCCUGUUGCCUUCCAGGCAGCGGGGGGAUAGUUUCUUGAGGUACUUGCAUAUACAUAGUGUGGUCGUAAACCCUUUGCAUAUUUAUAGUCCAGUCCCAGCAGCUGCGGAAGUAUGCAAAUUGGAAAACUUAUGGUACAACAAGCUAGAACGAUGCCGAGCCCACGUCCACUUGGGCAAAACAAAUUUCUGAAACUUUAUUUAUCAAGUGAAAUUUUAACAAAUUAACUGCAAAUGCAGAGACAUGGGCAAACAAAUAAACUCUCCGUCUCCAUCUCCGUCUCCAUCUCCGCCUCCGCCUCGGCCUCGGCCUCCAUCUUCAGCUCAACAAUGACCAAAUUCUGAACAAACACUCAUCAGACAUACACAAGCAUGAUUGUGACAACAUAUUGCCAUGUCAAAAUAUUUACACUAUAUCAACCUACUAUCGUCUAUCGUAUAUCGUAUAUCGUCUAUGCACUAUAUAAAUAGGAGAGGGAGUGAGAUGGAGUGAGAUGGUGUGGUGUGGUGCGGCAGAUUCGGUUUUAAAUUUCAUAUGGUUGUGCCAUCCGUUUGGAUAUUAAAUUUCAUGUUUUCCUUUGCAUGGCAUUUUCCUAUUGUCUGCAUUUUUGCACUUGUGUGACAACUAGCUCUAGCUGUAACUCUCUCAUUCCUGUCAAACGUUGGCUUAUGCAGAGUUCUUUGAAUUGUAAUUUUGUCUCUGUAUGCAUUGAAAGUGACCAGAGCUUCCAGCUUCUGGCUGCUUAUCUCCAAAUGCAGCUGUCAGGCGAAACUAGCUUUCUACUCGUAGUUUGGUCUUGCAUCCUGGCAAAAGUUAUUUUAGCUUCAAUAAAUAUUUCAGGGCUCUGUAAGCUUCAUAAAUAUAUUGCCCAAGAAGGUGCCUUGAAGCUGUAUCGAAUAAAUCAAAUAUGUGAUUUUUACAAGGCCAUCACGAGAAGACAGAAAUACCUAAGAUUAUUUCGUGGUUAAGUCCAUCUGUGACCACUAACCUCUGGCCAUAACGAAUAUCAAUAGUAUUUCCGAACUGAUGAAGCGCACUAGAAAUUUAUCAACAAUUUUCAUUUGACUUGGCUUCGCCUUGAUAAAAUGGAAAUCCACAAGAGCGACAAUCGAAUAGAACCACUGAAGCAGGCUAAUUUAAUAAGUUAAGCCACAGCCACAAUUUCUCGCCUUUGAACGUUACAACAACAAUAUUUUUCCAAUUGAACUAACGAAUAUUUAAUGAAAAUCAACACUUCCGCUUUGCUGAGCGCAGUAGAACACACACACACACACACACACACACAAACUAAUAACGGUAGCAUCGUAUUACAUAACGAGCUCCAAAUGCUCACCGCAGAAUGAGUCGUACGUGCCACAUUCGCCUCAAGUUGUCUGCACUCUGGCAGAGCCAGGGCUCACUGGAAAUCCCAUUUCGUUGAUAGUCAUCCAAGGGAUGGCUUGGCGAAAGGUCUGAUAUCUUCGAAAACAAAGCAGACUGCGAUCUCUCUCAAUUUCGAUCGCACUGGUCAUGGGAGAUGGGAAAAAUAUGGAAAGAAAGAGAGGAACCACGACCGCUAGCUAUGUUCUAAGUGGGGUUUAAUUUAUUUCUGGAAAUGGUUGCCCGGGCAGGAAUGUCUAUUUUAUCAUCGUGUCAACUAGUUGUACUGACAUGACGGUCCAUUUCCUAGAGCAACAAGCAAAUUGUCAUCCGUGGUCCGUGCCUCGUGCCACCCGCAAAAAGAUACAAAAAAUUACCAUGAAUUACUGUAAUUCCACUUGUGCUGCGACUGGAAUGCUGCCGGCUGGCCCUAAGCCAUGGCCAUUACAUGGAAAUGGGACAUGUCAGUGGACAUCGUCACUGAGAGAGGCCAGGCCAGGACAUGUGUGCAUGUUGGUCCGAUCUCUGGCCAAGCGGUCACGUUCGCACUGUAUGACCGGAACGUGCAAUUUUUCUGUGGCACAUGCGUCGAGGCGGGCGGCGGGCGGCGGGAGGCCAGCAAAAGGAACGCAAUAAGCACAAGUUUUAUGCAAUAAAAUUAGCCCACUCUUACACACACACACGCACUGAGGAAGGACACGCAGGAUGCUUCAGUUGCUGAUAAGAUAAUUUUAUUUGGAUGUUAUUGCAUAAAGUCAUGUGAGCGGCGGAAAUGAGUUGAACUAACGGAAAGCGACUACGUGCCUCUCAGAUCCGGCCGAUGGGGGCAAAGGACGAGUCCCUUGGAGUCGAGCCGCAGUUGGAUUUUAAUAAGAAAAUUGGCUUGUUUGUAAAUUGAUGAUUUUAAAGCUGAAGUUAAAGGUCGUCAGGGAUCGUCCACAUUGUACUCUCCGCCAAUUAUGUUCUGCGUCUCUUCAUUUCAAUGCUCCAAAGUGGGCCGACUACAUAAACAAAAGCAUCAAGCAGUUGUUUUGAAGUG